CAGGGGGGCUUUUCUGGGCAUAACACCGGCCGCGGCUGGAGGUUGUGGUGGUGUGUGGCUUCUGCCUAGUCUUCGCCUGCUGAUCUGCUCCCUCCUGGUGUAGGCUGUGUCUCCAUCCCUGGGCAACUGAGUGUUGGGAGCUGCAGUGCUUUGGACGCUCUGCUGCUUUGUCUUAUCACUGUUUGUUCUGGCCGCUCUHCGCUGAGCCUGUUGUGGAUUGGGCAGGCUGGUGGGCGGGGCAUUACUCCUCUGGCCCCCAUAGAAGGGCACUUGGAGAGACGACGACAACUUGUUCCAUCAUUUGAAGUAUUUUCUUUUACCGUUUGUUGAAGUAUUCAUUUGYUUCUGUUGAGUGCUGUGUUUCUUUUGUGUUGCAUGUUCUUUUGUUUUCUUGCUUUAUUUUGUUGCAUUUGCAUGGUUUGCUUGUUUUCUUGGAACAACCUCAUCUUGUCUGUCCCUUCUUGUGUGUUCCCUUUUUUUCUUUGGUUCCGGCGACCAAGUAGUGAGCCCGAUGCCUUGGAUUUUAAAAGAAGUGUUUUAAAAAGAACUUUUAGAUAAUUGUUAAAGUAUUGUACACUGUUAAA
Poecilia reticulata (guppy) is the source of this 584-nucleotide non-coding RNA. NCBI's taxonomy places the organism in Eukaryota, Metazoa, Chordata, Actinopteri, Cyprinodontiformes, Poeciliidae. The record is from RefSeq and is a predicted model, not a curated record.